This 423-nucleotide unclassified non-coding RNA is filed under the name fungal sp. RNAcentral's name for it is "partial internal transcribed spacer region". Lineage: Eukaryota; Fungi. The record is from RNAcentral.
AACUCGUAAGAAGGUUUCCGUAGGUGAACUAUAGAACUACCGCUCGAUUGUAACUGUUCCAAUGUUCGCACGUAGCCAGAGGUCUCUGCAUCACUACAACUUUCCGGGCUAUGAUUUAUCAGAGAUUGCGAACUACGCGGGUUACAAGAGCAGGAUGAAGGUUCACGGGGGGAGUUUUAACGUUUGGAUACGUGUUAAUAAUCCUUCCGCAGGGCAAUGUUUCCCCAAGCAGUCAGUGUCGGAAAGUGUCAUUGAUUGUGCAAGGAUAGCGCUUCUACGAUUCCUGUAGGCCGUACACUCGGGCAGGAGCUUUGCCAAAGGGUCCCCAUGCCCCCUAAUAACCCCACAGUUUAAUGUGAAGCUCAAUGUAAUACAUUGGGUAAAAAAACCGAACAACUGUUAACAAUGGAUAUCUUGGUUCUC